UUUCAGCUGGAUCAGUUCUCUGAUCUGGUUCACCAUGUGGCUGCACAAACAUUUAUGAUGGCACAGUACAACAGAUGAUCUGGGUGAAGAUGUGGGAGUGGGAGAAAGCAGGGACUGCUUCAUUGGAAAUUUUGCAUGCUUGAAAGAAUACCAAAUUGCAGCUCAAGGAAGAAAGGAUUUGAAGCAGGAUGACACAUCGGAGAAGAGGGUUGAAGGAUAUGCCUAAUUCCCCAGAAACGAAAACUUGGCUUAAAAUGCCAAAUGGUGCAAUUACAGGAGGUGAAGAUCAGCCGGCACAGCCACUUCCAAAUAAUGCCAUCUGCAGAAAAAGGCAAUGCACUUUUCAACAUGACUGUGAAGAGGAAUUGCCAUUCUCUAGCCUUGCUCAGACAGAACACGUGCUUCAUGAGAAUGUCUGUCUCAUGAAGGUGCUUGUUCAGGAGUGGUAGUGGAAGCCCAACUCCAAUCCAUGUUGGUAUUUAUGGUCCGAAACAUCAGUCCUACCCACAAUAGGAGAUUUCACCACAAAAUAUCUAACUGGUUGCCCUAGUGUAGAUAGGUGGAUCUCGGGCACCUUCUGCUGCUUUUGCCACAGAGGUGAUAGUUGUGGUUGCAGUGUCUUCGCCAUUCAUGCCAAAGAGUUGCUUUUGCAAGAGAUACUCCUCCAGAUCUACUGUGUAAACAGAACUGAAAGAUAUUCUGUGCAGAUCUGCAAAACCCCAUUCGGAAAGGCUGAUGGAUGCCAUUUUAUCCACCAAAGUGUUUUUCAGAUGUGAUACAGUCCACAGGAAACCUUUUGAAAUAGAAGAGGACUGUGGCAGUCAGCACAGCAUUGUGGUGUUAUGACCAAGAAGCUGUUUUCAAGAACAGGAGACAUUUCUUCUGAUAGAGAAACUGGUGAUACUUAUCCUUUGCUUCUGUGGGAAAGCUGGUGGCCCCAGAUGGGAGGAUGUAUGUCUUUGGGACUCUGGGUUUCCCACUGGGAUGGCCAGGCGCUCCCUUCCCUGGGUGCCCUUCUCCACAUCAGCAGAGAAGAUCAACAGAGAUGUGCAUGGGGAUUGCAUCUGCAGACCUCUCCAUUCCCAUGUCUGUAGAUUACUCAGAUAGGAUAAUGUGUUUAAAAAAGGAUUAUCUUGCUGGGUCUUGUUUGCCAAAUAUCAGCCUGGAGGGAGUUUUUACAGCUGAGUUGCAAUGACCUGAUAGCAGUGUUUAUGAUAGAAAUUCUGCCAACUACUUGAGACCAGCAGUGCGCUGGUGGCUUAGUCACUGGAAGACUUUGUUGUCAGAAUCACUUUUUCUUUUGCAAAGGGGAAUAUGUGUGGUGAACAGUGCUUGGUGCCUCUAAGCGCAGAGGCUCCAUGCUGGUUAGUGGUUAGCCAGCCCCACAGGCACUGCCUGCAAGCAUCCCCACACAGCGCUGCCAGGAACAACAGCGGCUGACGCUUGCACAGCACUUUUCCUCUUUGGGCUGAUCACGGGACACACUGCACAUGAGCUGUGGGUGUUGCAGAGCUGCCACUGCGGCUCUCUGGCAGCCCAGGGCAGGAGGGGUCAUGGUGGUAAGCAGGACACGUGCUGCCCAGCACUCCUGCAUGUGCCCUCUAGUAGGGGACACAGCAUAGCCCACCACAAGCACUCACUGCUUACCGGGGCUCGCUACCACACUGCCUGCCUGGAUGGAGAUUGGACUCCUUUAUCCUAAGGACAGGCAUAUCUUUAUUGGGAUAGUUUUAAUUCACUUGGCACUACGGUUCCCUCAACUCUUUUUACUGCUCUUCAUGUCAUGGGGGGCAGAGUGGGAAUUUGUUCCUUUAAGGUGAAUAGUUUUUGAUUCUGAUCUGAUUUCCCACACUUGAGGCACUUUUGGGUAAAGAAUAUCGAAUAUGCAAAAUUAUGUUGUGUUUCUACAGUGGAGUUACUAAGCACCAUUCACUCCUGUGCCCUUGUGCCAAAAAAAAUUAUGACAAGGCAGCCCCAUGGCAGGGGGGUUUGCCCUGGCGGAACUGCAGAACAGCCUUUCUGUGGAUAUGCCCUUGGGAUGCUGAGAAGCAACAGGUUUGUGUGUUGGUAUGGGCAAAAGCUACCUAGAAUUUAGAUUAAAAGGAAAAUAUAUUUGCUGAGCCACUCUGAGUAACACAGCAGCUCCUACAGUAACAUAGUUGUUGUCAUUGGCUGGGUUUGAGCAGCUCGUAGUCAUAUAAAAGAACAUGAGAAAUGAAAUUGUGAUCCAAGACCUCUGAGCUUCAGGUUACGUGAUACAUUGCCUGCUUUUGGUUAAGCUCCGUAUGAAGGAAAUUGUUGCCAGUUGUGUUUCAUUAGUGCACAGAGAAAAAGGGCUGCAUUUAUGUUGUCCAGGAAGUUGCUGAAUCACAUUACUGUGCAGAAUAUAUUCCUCAAAUUGUCUCUCUCCAGUCAUGCAAGGAAAAGAAAAAAAAAAAGCAAUCCUUUAUCAAAAGAUGAAACAUUAUAGGGGCUAGUUAAGGAAAAGUAACACUAUCUUUUUAAAAAAUCUCAAGCUGCAGUGCCUAGGAACUGAAGGGCAGAGAGUGUUCCUUUUCUCUGUUACUGCUGCAUGACCUGUGCUUAACUGUAUGUAUUGCAGUCUUAAAGCCUCCUCUUGCUCCCCAGGAGACAAAUGCUAAAGCAUUCUUAGACCUUAGUGCGUGGGGGAGAGAGCUCUCUGUAUAAUUUCAUGUAUAAAUAUUGUAUGCUCUGUGCCUGUUCGUAAGUUUUUACAGAAAUGGAAGUUAGCUGGUGCACACUCUGGUGGCCAGUCCUUCUACAAAGAGAACUCACAGGGAUGACACAGUAAAUUACGCUUGCGUACUUGCCGUGCAUUAUGCACCAUUUUCUCCUUUGCACAUUUGUUAAGAUGAGAAAGCAUAUGCUUCUCAGUUAAGCUUCUUAUAAAGACCUUUACUCCCAAACCUACAUCUUUUAGUUGCCAGUCUUUUGAUUUUAAAAGCAAAUCUGAGGGUUUGUUUUUUUUUUUUUUCUGUAAGAUCCACUUUCUGUUAAACAUUUCUGGUCACAGCUCCCUAUCUGUUUCAAAAACAAAACCAAAAAUAACAAGUCUCAUCAUUCUGUCUUUCCUUGGACGAUAAAAACAAGGCAAGGUAAAGCUCUUGGCACAGGUUUGUAUCACGCUCAGCAGAGGCACUCUGCCUAGGCUGGGCCUUCUGGGCUGUGCCAAUAGCCACCAACUUUCUGGACCGAUCAGAAAUGUACACAUGGGUUAAAGAUCUUUCUUUUUAAUUUUGUGUGUAUGUGCAUGUAACUUAGAAUGAAUGUAAUGUUUGAUUUGUUGAAAUUCAGGCAUAUAGCCUCUAAUCACAAUAUCACAAUAACUGAUAUUUCUGUGUUUUCUGUCUUCUGAAUGCAAUUUUAAUAUUGAUUCUGUUUAGUACUGCUUCUCUAAUGUUAUCUGUGACGUACGGUUGUACAUUUUCUAGUUAUUGUGUUUGUUCAGCAGGCAACCCUGAGCUUUCCUUACUGCAUUCUUCCCUUGCUUCUAGCCAGUGCUGUAUUGCUUUGGUUGUAGGUGUUGGAAGAUGAAAUUCUGCUGAACUUCAAAGAGAGGAGGCUGAAGUGUCAGGACAUGCUAGCAACUACAGAAGAGGGAAAACAGUGAGUGAUUCUUGACUCCUUGCAGGGCUCAGGUGUGAACUUGAAGACAGGGCAAGGAGGAAAAGAAGGGAGACAUGGAGCUGCAGCCCUCUUGCCCAUGUCCUGGGCAGGUGGGUGCUGCCACUGCCCCCCUUCUUUGCAGGGUAACCUGAUCAGGCCCUGGGACUUCACUAUGAGACAAGAUUGUCCUCCACCUUUGGCUGUCCUUCCCUCAGGGCUGUUGCUUAAGGCUGAAAACCCAUCACUCAGGAAAAGCAGGCGGCCUGCUCCCUCUAUAGGCUUUUCUGGUUGUUGCUGUCGUGAUCUGGCUGCCCAGGGGAUCAGAGCUGCACACAGGUUUUGAAAGCUGACAGAAACUCUUACAUGAGGCAUAUUUUGCAUUUCUUUCAAAUUUAGAGAUGAUUUUUUUUUGCAUGUUUAUGUGUGUAAAUGUGUAUAUGCGUGUGGAUUCACGUUUGUGUAUUUAUAUAUGUUGUCUAAUGACUAUAGAUGUAGCUACUUCCUCUGCAGAAGGAACAUAUAUGGAGCAAUUUUCACUGCUUAGUCUUGGUCUUUGAUAACGGCAGAGGUAAUGAUAACACCCUUUCAACUGCAUUCUACCUUUAUUAAGGGAAGAGACACCGUCUGAACCACAGCACGCUUCCUCCCCAGCGCCUGCUCUCCUGAGUGCACCAGCACUGCAGUUCCUGAUGCCAUUCAGAUAACAAAAGCAAUCUGGAUUCAGAGCAUCCUCUUUGUCGCUUGGAUCAGCCCAGGGACCUGCUGUACAGCCCAGCCCUAGCAGCUGCUGUGGAGCUGCAUGGGGGGAGGCAGAGUGGGAGUCAACCGUCCCCAGGCUGCUGCUGCAGCUGGGUGCCCCUUGCUGCAAGUGCAGCUCCCUGCCUGCUGCUGGCAUGCGUAGCAGAGGGGAUUCCCCUGCGGUGCUUGAAACAGCGCUGUAGGGAAAGGUCUAACACAUCUGCAGGUUAUUUAUUAACAGAGCUGACCUUCUGCUGAGUGGCGGAGUAACCAUCCCACUGAAGCACUGAUGAAGAAGUGGCAGUUUUUCCGUUAUGCAGAACGCGGGUACUAGCACCUAGGAGAAGGCUGCCAAGCAAUUUCCUUGCAGUGAUACCCUUCUCAGUUGCUCCUUACUUUUUAAAAUGUGAAUACAUUGUUCCAAAGUUUUCAGUACUAAAUAAGUGGCUUUUUGUUGUGGGGAACAGAAGGCAGAUGACAGGAAAAGUUUUCACUAAAAGGUUGAGGGCAUUUCCAAGGAAGAUCGAGAGAGCAACAUGCGAGCUUUGCUUACAGAGAAAAACCUUAGCAGUCAUUCUGUGCUGUGCCCAUUUUCCCUUCACCAGGUCUGACCUUGUUCUGCGUUGAGCACAUUCAGAGAUCUGCAGUGGGGGUUAUGUAUUUUUGUCACUUAUGGCACAAACAAAUUGCUUUAACUUAAGCUUUAAAGCAAAGCCCUGCCAGGAUGGCAAAUCUGUACACCACCAGUUAAAUGACUGAUGGUUUAUUUGUCUUUGGAGCUUCUGGUGACAGCUGAAGCAUAGUGGUGAAAGAAAAAAUAAGGUAAGUUACGUAGCAUUUCACAUAUGAAAUUAAUAAUGAUCUUUCUACGUGGGAUAAAUUGCUUUUCAAUGGUUACAUGCAUGGAUAUACUGAGGAUGAUUUUAUCUGGUGUCUGUUGUGCAGUGUGCAUAAAUUCAGAAGACUUUUUGACUAAAGAUGAGACUUUCACAGAAGACCUUUCUUUCGGUCAAUAUAUUUCACUAUUUAAUUAAAAGAAAUCCUGGCCAUGUUUCAAUUCAAUUACUUGGUCUCAGGAGUCCAUUUUUGACCUUCAAACACGCAAAAAAAUUUGUUUUAAGCCAAAAUAUCAUCUUUUUGAAUUGAAUUUUUCUUUUUUUCAAAGAGCUUCUUGUUUGAGUAGUACUAGAUUUGCAUUAAAUUGGAUGU
This is a long non-coding RNA of Numida meleagris (helmeted guineafowl), 5574 nucleotides long. RefSeq lists it as uncharacterized. Lineage: Eukaryota; Metazoa; Chordata; Aves; Galliformes; Numididae. The transcript is spliced from 3 exons. The record is from RefSeq and is a predicted model, not a curated record.